GAGAGCGGCGGACGGGUGAGUAAUGCCUAGGAAUCUGCCUGGUAGUGGGGGAUAACGUCCGGAAACGGACGCUAAUACCGCAUACGUCCUACGGGAGAAAGCAGGGGACCUUCGGGCCUUGCGCUAUCAGAUGAGCCUAGGUCGGAUUAGCUAGUUGGUGGGGUAAUGGCUCACCAAGGCGACGAUCCGUAACUGGUCUGAGAGGAUGAUCAGUCACACUGGAACUGAGACACGGUCCAGACUCCUACGGGAGGCAGCAGUGGGGAAUAUUGGACAAUGGGCGAAAGCCUGAUCCAGCCAUGCCGCGUGUGUGAAGAAGGUCUUCGGAUUGUAAAGCACUUUAAGUUGGGAGGAAGGGCAGUAAAUUAAUACUUUGCUGUUUUGACGUUACCGACAGAAUAAGCACCGGCUAACUCUGUGCCAGCAGCCGCGGUAAUACAGAGGGUGCAAGCGUUAAUCGGAAUUACUGGGCGUAAAGCGCGCGUAGGUGGUUCGUUAAGUUGGAUG
This 507-nucleotide ribosomal RNA is filed under the name uncultured bacterium. RNAcentral's name for it is "bacterial SSU rRNA". It matches the Rfam family "Bacterial small subunit ribosomal RNA", at positions 91 to 594 of the family's 1533-position model. The record is from RNAcentral.